This 523-nucleotide long non-coding RNA is filed under the name Nicotiana benthamiana. RNAcentral's name for it is "long non-coding RNA (NBEN_LNC006927)". The record is from RNAcentral. Lineage: Eukaryota; Viridiplantae; Streptophyta; Magnoliopsida; Solanales; Solanaceae.
AAAAUACAGUGACAGCUCAAGGAAGAACUAAUAUUCGGGAGACCACAGGUUUUGUAAUCCAGAACUGCCGCAUUGUUCCCGAGCAAUUACUGGAACCUGUGCGUUUCAAGAUUCCUACCUACUUGGGACGGCCAUGGAAGAUGUACUCAAGAACUGUGAUCAUGGAAUCAACUUUGGCAGAUUUCAUCCAACCUGCAGGUUGGAUGCUUUGGUCCGGAAACUUUGCCCUUGACACAUGUUACUAUGCUGAGUAUGGAAACCGCGGUCCAGGAGCCAAUACCAACAAUAGGGUCAAAUGGAAGGGAUUCAAAGUCAUCACAGACAGAAGCGAAGCCCUUCAGUUUACAACUACUCCGUUUAUUCAAGGAAAAAUAGUCCAGAACUGCCGCAUUGUUCCCGAGCCAUUACUGGAACCUGUGCGUUUCAAGAUUCCUACCUACUUGGGACGGCCAUGGAAGAUGUACUCAAGAACUGUGAUCAUGGAAUCAACUUUAGCAGAUUUCAUCCAACCUGCAGGUUGGAU